CCUACGGGUGGCAGCAGUGGGGCAUAUUGCACAAUGGGCGAAAGCCUGCUGCAGCAACGCCGCGUGAGCGAUGACGGCCUUAGGGUCGUACAGCUCUGUCCUCAAGGCAGAUAAUGACGGUACUUGAGGAGGAAGACCCGGCUAACUACGUGCCAGCAGCCGCGGUAAUACGUAGGGGGCUAGGGUUAUCCGGAAUUACUGGGCGUAAAGGGUGCGUAGGUGGUUUCUUAAGUCAGAGGUGAAAGGCCAUGGCUCAACCGUAUUAAGCCUUUGAAACUGGGGACCUUGAGUGCAGGAGAGGAGGGUGGAAUUCCUAGUGUAGCGGUGAAAUGCGUAGAUAUUAGGAGGAACACCAGUUGCGAAGGCGGCUCUCUGGACUGUAACUGACACUGAGGCACGAAAGCGUGGGGAGCAAACAGGAUGAGAGACCCGAGUAGUC
This 439-nucleotide ribosomal RNA is filed under the name uncultured bacterium. RNAcentral describes it as "partial 16S ribosomal RNA". It matches the Rfam family "Bacterial small subunit ribosomal RNA", at positions 338 to 795 of the family's 1533-position model. The record is from RNAcentral.